UAUAACAACAAAAUAAUAAAA
This 21-nucleotide non-coding RNA is filed under the name Caenorhabditis elegans. Lineage: Eukaryota; Metazoa; Nematoda; Chromadorea; Rhabditida; Rhabditidae. The record is from RNAcentral.